RNAcentral lists this long non-coding RNA (972 nucleotides) under Pavo cristatus (Indian peafowl). RNAcentral's name for it is "lncRNA (ENSPSTG00000002855.1)". Lineage: Eukaryota; Metazoa; Chordata; Aves; Galliformes; Phasianidae. The record is from RNAcentral.
CCCUGUGAUUCUGUGGUGGUGGCACCACUCAGCCUCAGUAGAUGUGGAGAUAUGGCACUGAGAGGGACACAGCGAGGAUGGGUUGAUGGUUGGACUAGGUGAUCUUAGAUGUCUUUUCCAACCUUAAUGAUUCUGUGCAACUGCAGCCAUAUCCCCGUGUGGUUUCUGUUCUCCCCCGUGUUCUCCCUGCCAUUCCUGCUUGAAUCUAAUGAAUUAGAUUCUUUUCUUAUUCUGUCUUCUGCUCCUCCGCCGUCAUUAUUUGGCAGAGCUGUAGGCACAGACGUGUUGUAAUGCGGCAGCGAAGCCAGCUCGGGCUCCUUUUGAGCAGAACGAGCACUGCUUGCCAGCCGGCCUGCCGCUCCGCAGAGUGCUGGAGCUCCGUGCUCUGCCCGCUCCCAGCUCCGGCACCGUAACCGGCACUGCCGUGGCCCUCCACCCCAGCCUCAAACGCGACGCUCUCGAACGCGGCUCGACAGGGCGGGGGGCAGCCCGACAGGGCCGCUCUGCCCGCACCCACACGCCGCCUCUCCGAGCCCGGGGUGGGAGCGGCGGUGCGGGGCUGCGGCUCGGCUCCUCUGCGCGGUGCCGCCCCGGGGCAGGGAGGCAGGGCAGGCUGCGGGGGCCGGGCUGCCGGGGCCGGGCUGCCCCACCGCGUCCUGCGGCACUCGGCACCGCCGCCUGCAGCCGGGGAGCCUUUCUCAGAGGCGCUGCUGCCGAGAAACACGAGCGCGUAAGUAACUGAACGGGACAUGAAGAAUUGACAUUUAAAUGGCCAGCAUGUUGCAAAAGUCUGACAGCAAUGCAAGCUUUCUCCGAGCUGCCAGAGCUGGCAAUUUGGACAAAGUAGUGGAAUACCUGAAAAGUGGAAUAGACAUUAAUACAUGUAAUCAGGUAAGAUAAUUGAAGGGCAAAACUACAAGAGCAAAAUGUAAGUCAUACCCUCUUCACCGAACUAGAAUUUUCAGGUUAGAU